RNAcentral lists this non-coding RNA (952 nucleotides) under Cyrtopodion scabrum. RNAcentral's name for it is "12S rRNA". It matches the Rfam family "Bacterial small subunit ribosomal RNA". Lineage: Eukaryota; Metazoa; Chordata; Lepidosauria; Squamata; Gekkonidae. The record is from RNAcentral.
CACAGUCUUGGUCUUAAACUUACCACUAUAGCUGGCCACCAUUACACAUGCAAGUCUCAGCACACCAGUGCUUACGCCCACCUCGGAGCAAGUAUCAGGCACAUCAUUCAAGAUAGCCAAGGACACUUAGCUAUAUUUGCCACCCCCCCACGGGCUACAGCAGUGAUAGACAUUGGUUAAUAAGCCCCACCACAUUAAGCUUGAACCAGACACGGCCAAAAGGGCCGGUAAACUCCGUGCCAGCCACCGCGGUUAUACGGAGGGCCCAAUAUAACUAAUUGACGGCGUAAAAUGUGACCAAGGAGUAGUUUAAACCUACCGGUGCCGAAGCACAAGCAUAGUGAUAGAAUGCCCAUACAAAAAAACACCAUCUAAGCACCACAAGUUAAACCAACCUACACUCACGAAAGCUAAGAACCAAACUAGGAUUAGAUACCCUACUAUGCUUAGCCAUAAACCUAGAUAGUCCAACAACCAACUAUCCGCCAGAGGAUUACGAGCGAAAAGCUUAAAACUCAAAAGACUUGACGGUGUCCCAUAUCACCCUAGAGGAGCCUGUCCUACAAUCGAUACCCCGCGUUUAACCCAACCUACUCUUGCAAUACAACAGCCUAUAUACCGCCGUCUCCAGCCUACCUAAUGAUAGUACCGUAGUAGGCAAAAUAGUGGCCACACUAACACGUCAGGUCAAGGUGUAGCUAACGAGCAGGCAGCGAUGGGCUACAUUUUCUAAAAUAGAUCACCACUGACAGCAACAUGAAAACACAGUUUAAAGGAGGAUUUAGAAGUAAGCUGGAUCACACCCACCAACUGAAACACGCUCUGGGACGCGUACACACCGCCCGUCACCCUCAUCGCCAAAAAACUACCAAGUAAAUAACACCCCCAUAAACAACUAGAUGAGACAAGUCGUAACAUGGUAAGUGUACUGGAAAGUGCACUUGGCUUAAAA